This is a long non-coding RNA of Gymnodraco acuticeps, 1054 nucleotides long. RefSeq lists it as uncharacterized. Lineage: Eukaryota; Metazoa; Chordata; Actinopteri; Perciformes; Bathydraconidae. The transcript is spliced from 3 exons. The record is from RefSeq and is a predicted model, not a curated record.
UUGAAUGUUGUAUUCUAUGGUAAUAGUUAAGCUUUUUUACCCCACAUUUUGAAGGCAAAAUAGAAGCAUGUCUAUAUAUGGGUGGCCAUUGUUGUUUGUUCUGUUGGAUGGAUCAUUAAACAAUUGAACACUAGGCUUUUGGUUCAUAUUUGCCAUUCAAAUUCUGUCCUUUGCUCUUUUAACACAGUCUAAUGCGGAUGUAACAUACAGUACUGUCAAUAAAAAGAGAAAGACUUCAGGUCAGGUAAGACACUGUGUAAAAACGAUUGGCACAGAACAUUAUACAUUUGAAUACAAAAAACUAUUUAGAGGUAGGUUUUGGUUAAACUCUUAUGGUGAUUGAAAUGAUCAUCUGUUUGCCCUAAAAAGGAAGAAUUGUUCAUGUUCAUGUUGAUGGUUUGCAGCUUGGUCUCGCUGAAGAGGAAGUAACAUACAGCGAUGUUAAACACAUGAGAAGAGCUUCAGAAAAGUGGUCAGAAGCUAAUAGAGAUGUGGACGUGAUGUACUCCUCUGUGGUCGCUGUAGAACGUCAAACUAAACAAAGGAUUCAAGCGGAAGAAGAUGAUGUAACAUACAGCAGUUUGGCUUAGCACCAGAGAAACCUGUGAAUGUUACCCCUACUCUACAUCUAUGCUCAUCGAUGGAGGCUUUUUUAGAUGACAGUCUUGCAACUUGCCGACAUCUGAUCUUUGGUUUUGCAGAAACCGCUUUCUUUUUUUCUUAUUUCUCCCCUUCCCCUUUCUUCAUAUCCUUAAGCUCAAGACAUUUUAUGCAUUGACAAAAGCUUUCUACUCUCUUACAAAAGGACUAAACUCCUGAACAUUCAGGAGGAACCAAACAAAUCUUACAGGUUGUUUAAUUAUGUUUGUUCAUUUACAUAUUGUAUUAUGUGUGUUUUGUUGUUUGAUGUUUGAUGGAACAUGAAUUAUAAUGUUUAAAGUACAAAAUAAGUCAACUAAAAUAAACAUUCAAAUGCGAUAAAUCACGAGUUAAUAUUUCAGUUUCUGCCAUCCUCCUUGUCUUCUUCUUCUUAUAUAUUUAACUGUUCGAAACA